CCAUAGUCCAGUGUUGCAGCAGACCACAGCAGCUCACAGGCAACAUCUUUCCAGGUUCUUAUCUCACAGAUCCCAAGAGAGAAAUUCACAGAAUGGAAGGCAAGAGUGAAAAAAAGUAGGGUUUAUUUAAGAAUAGAAACAGACUUCUCACAAGGCAAGAAGGGACCUGAUAGCAGGUUUUCCAUCUGAGUAUACUAGUCCAGGGGUUUAUAUAGCACUGGGGUCAAGGCUAUGGGUCCAAAUUUAUGCUAAUCGGGACUGGAAAAAUACCAGUACUACCAGUUAGCCUUGCAGUCCCGUUCAGGCCUGCUCCACUUCCAUUUCUCCCAGAUUGUUGGGAAGCGGGAGGCUGAGAUCACCUCAUCAUGAAUGCUUGGUGUUGCAGGCUGCAGUGCUGUGUGGAGCAGGUGUCCACAACAGGCCCAGACAGGAAUGCCUCAGCACAACAGGUUGGUGUACCCUGGAUUGCUGCAGCCCUGGCUAGCUGGGCCUCAGGCUCAUGUUGGCAUGGCGGGCUCUGCAUGGCCCCUGCACAUGUAGGCUUCACUACCUGUGCUUCAGCCCUCCCUAGCCACUGUUUUGCAGCUCCAUGGCUGCUUCACUGCAGCUUCUCAGCAGAUAUCAGUGGGCUGGCUAAGUGGUUCAGUGGCUGGGAAAUCAUGUCACUGGAGAUCAAACCCAAUACCUUGCACGUGCUAGGCAAGUACUCUACCACUGAGCUACAUCUCCAGCACUCGCCUUAUUGUCUGCCUUUGUUGCUAUUGUUUGGCUUAUUGUUAAUUAUUUUGUUUUUAACCUGUUAAUAU
This 806-nucleotide long non-coding RNA is filed under the name Marmota monax (woodchuck). Lineage: Eukaryota; Metazoa; Chordata; Mammalia; Rodentia; Sciuridae. The record is from RNAcentral.